RNAcentral lists this ribosomal RNA (494 nucleotides) under uncultured bacterium. Its description in RNAcentral is "partial 16S ribosomal RNA". It matches the Rfam family "Bacterial small subunit ribosomal RNA", at positions 28 to 508 of the family's 1533-position model. The record is from RNAcentral.
GACGAACGCUGGCGGCGUGCCUAACACAUGCAAGUUGAGCGACGAACCAGGGCUUGCCCUGGGGCAAAGCAGCGAACGGGUGAGUAACACGUGGGUAACCUACCCCGAUAACCGGGACAACCCGAGGAAACUCGGGCUAAUACCGGAUGUGCUCACUGGACUUCGGUUCAGUGCGUAAAGGAAGCUUCGGCCUCCGUAUCGGGAGGGGCCCGCGGCCCAUUAGUUUGUUGGUGAGGUAACGGCUCACCAAGACCGCGAUGGGUAGCUGGUCUGAGAGGACGAUCAGCCACACUGGGACUGAGACACGGCCCAGACUCCUACGGGAGGCAGCAGUGGGGAAUCUUGCGCAAUGCGCGAAAGCGUGACGCAGCAACGCCGCGUGGGGGAAGAAGGCCUUCGGGUUGUAAACCCCUUUCAGGAGGGACGAAGGUUCGGCGGUGAAUAGCCGUCCGGACUGACGGUACCUCCACAAGAAGCCCCGGCUAACUACGUGC